Molecule: ribosomal RNA, 252 nt
Filed under: uncultured bacterium
Lineage: Bacteria
Description: partial 16S ribosomal RNA
Rfam family: Bacterial small subunit ribosomal RNA
Source: RNAcentral
UACGUAGGGCGCAAGCGUUAUCCGGAAUUAUUGGGCGUAAAGAGCUCGUAGGCGGUUUGUCGCGUCUGCCGUGAAAGUCCGGGGCUCAACUCCGGAUCUGCGGUGGGUACGGGCAGACUAGAGUGUGUAGGGGGAGACUGGAAUUCCUGGUGUAGCGGUGAAAUGCGCAGAUAUCAGGAGGAACACCGAUGGCGAAGGCAGGUCUCUGGGCCACUACUGACGUGAGAAGCGAAAGCGUGGGGAGCGAACAGG